GACGAACGCUGGCGGCGUGCUUAACACAUGCAAGUCGAACGGAAAGGCCCUGCUUUUGUGGGGUGCUCGAGUGGCGAACGGGUGAGUAACCCGUGAGUAACCUGCCCUUGACUUUGGGAUAACUUCAGGAAACUGGGGCUAAUACCGGAUAGGAGCUCCUGCUGCAUGGUGGGGGUUGGAAAGUUUCGGCGGUUGGGGAUGGACUCGCGGCUUAUCAGCUUGUUGGUGGGGUAGUGGCUUACCAAGGCUUUGACGGGUAGCCGGCCUGAGAGGGUGACCGGCCACAUUGGGACUGGGGUACGGCCCAGACUCCUACGGGAGGCAGCAGUGGGGAAUAAUGCAAAAUGGGCGGAAGCCUGAUGCAGCAACGCCGCGUGCGGGAUGACGGCCUUCGGGUUGUAAACCGCUUUCGCCUGUGACGAAGCGUGAGUGACGGUAAUGGGUAAAGAAGCACCGGCUAACUACGUG
RNAcentral lists this ribosomal RNA (468 nucleotides) under uncultured bacterium. RNAcentral's name for it is "partial 16S ribosomal RNA". It matches the Rfam family "Bacterial small subunit ribosomal RNA", at positions 28 to 507 of the family's 1533-position model. The record is from RNAcentral.